This 253-nucleotide ribosomal RNA is filed under the name uncultured bacterium. Its description in RNAcentral is "partial 16S ribosomal RNA". It matches the Rfam family "Bacterial small subunit ribosomal RNA", at positions 524 to 776 of the family's 1533-position model. The record is from RNAcentral.
UACGUAGGGUGCAAGCGUUAAUCGGAAUUACUGGGCGUAAAGUGUGCGCAGGCGGUUAUGCAAGACAGAUGUGAAAUCCCCGGGCUCAACCUGGGAACUGCAUUUGUGACUGCAUGGCUAGAGUACGGUAGAGGGGGAUGGAAUUCCGCGUGUAGCAGUGAAAUGCGUAGAUAUGCGGAGGAACACCGAUGGCGAAGGCAAUCCCCUGGACCUGUACUGACGCUCAUGCACGAAAGCGUGGGGAGCAAACAAG